AGAGUUUGAUCCUGGCUCAGAAUCAACGCUGGCGGCGUGCCUAACACAUGCAAGUCGAACGCGAAAGUCCCGCAAGGGAUCGGUAGCGUGGCAAACGGGUGAGUAACACGUGGGUGACCUGCCUUCGAGUGGGGGAUAACGUCCCGAAAGGGACGCUAAUACCGCAUAACAUCCUGCCUUUUAAGAGGUGGAGAUCAAAGCCGGGGAUCGCAAGACCUGGCGCUUGAAGAGGGGCCCGCGUCCGAUUAGCUAGUUGGUGGGGUAAUGGCUCACCAAGGCUCCGAUCGGUAUCCGGCCUGAGAGGGCGGACGGACACACUGGGACUGAGACACGGCCCAGACUCCUACGGGAGGCAGCAGUGGGGAAUUGUUCGCAAUGGGCGCAAGCCUGACGACGCAACGCCGCGUGGAGGAUGAAGAUCUUCGGGUCGUAAACUCCUUUCGAUCGAGACGAACGGCCUUCGGGUUAACAACCUGGAGGAGUGACGGUACCGAGAGAAGAAGCCCCGGCUAACUCCGUGCCAGCAGCCGCGGUAAUACGGGGGGGG
RNAcentral lists this ribosomal RNA (547 nucleotides) under uncultured bacterium. Its description in RNAcentral is "bacterial SSU rRNA". It matches the Rfam family "Bacterial small subunit ribosomal RNA", at positions 8 to 534 of the family's 1533-position model. The record is from RNAcentral.